Molecule: ribosomal RNA, 409 nt
Filed under: uncultured Diversispora
Lineage: Eukaryota; Fungi; Glomeromycota; Glomeromycetes; Diversisporales; Diversisporaceae
Description: partial 28S ribosomal RNA
Source: RNAcentral
GAGAGUUAAAUAGUACGUGAAAUUGUUGAAAGGGAAACGAUUGAAGUCAGUCAUGCUAGUGAAAAAUCAGUUUGACGGGUUUUGAGUUCAGGAGUAGAGGCAGGGUCAAACCGUUUCUCUUUUGAACUUGGGAUUUGUUAGAUGUACUUUUUCUUUGGCAGGUCAGCGUCGAUUUCGGAGGUUGUAAAAUACUUGGGGGAAAGUAACUCUGCUUCGGGAGAGUAUUAUAGACCCUGGGGGAUGCAGCCUGCGGGAUCGAGGAUUGCAGCAAAUGCCUUUGGCUUGUCGCCUGAUCUCUGGAUGUUACCUCGCUUGUGACAACAUUCUUGCCACCUGUGGGUACUAAUGCCCAUUAGGUUAGAGCGAUCAAAAAUUUUGCUAAGGAUGCUGACGUAAUGGCUUUAAACGA